GGGGGUGGAUGGGGCCUGGUGGCUCUCCUGGUCUUCAAAACCAGUCGUGGGGCGGCGAUCCCGUCCCGGGUGAGUUCGAUUCUCACACACUCCCGCCA
This 98-nucleotide transfer RNA is filed under the name Bacillota bacterium. Its description in RNAcentral is "tRNA-Sec". It matches the Rfam family "Selenocysteine transfer RNA". Lineage: Bacteria; Bacillati; Bacillota. The record is from RNAcentral.